Molecule: ribosomal RNA, 875 nt
Filed under: Staphylococcus aureus
Lineage: Bacteria; Bacillati; Bacillota; Bacilli; Caryophanales; Staphylococcaceae
Description: partial 23S ribosomal RNA
Rfam family: Bacterial large subunit ribosomal RNA
Source: RNAcentral
GCCCGUUAAUGGGUGAUGGCGUGCCUUUUGUAGAAUGAACCGGCGAGUUACGAUUUGAUGCAAGGUUAAGCAGUAAAUGUGGAGCCGUAGCGAAAGCGAGUCUGAAUAGGGCGUUUAGUAUUUGGUCGUAGACCCGAAACCAGGUGAUCUACCCUUGGUCAGGUUGAAGUUCAGGUAACACUGAAUGGAGGACCGAACCGACUUACGUUGAAAAGUGAGCGGAUGAACUGAGGGUAGCGGAGAAAUUCCAAUCGAACCUGGAGAUAGCUGGUUCUCUCCGAAAUAGCUUUAGGGCUAGCCUCAAGUGAUGAUUAUUGGAGGUAGAGCACUGUUUGGACGAGGGGCCCCUCUCGGGUUACCGAAUUCAGACAAACUCCGAAUGCCAAUUAAUUUAACUUGGGAGUCAGAACAUGGGUGAUAAGGUCCGUGUUCGAAAGGGAAACAGCCCAGACCACCAGCUAAGGUCCCAAAAUAUAUGUUAAGUGGAAAAGGAUGUGGCGUUGCCCAGACAACUAGGAUGUUGGCUUAGAAGCAGCCAUCAUUUAAAGAGUGCGUAAUAGCUCACUAGUCGAGUGACACUGCGCCGAAAAUGUACCGGGGCUAAACAUAUUACCGAAGCUGUGGAUUGUCCUUUGGACAAUGGUAGGAGAGCGUUCUAAGGGCGUUGAAGCAUGAUCGUAAGGACAUGUGGAGCGCUUAGAAGUGAGAAUGCCGGUGUGAGUAGCGAAAGACGGGUGAGAAUCCCGUCCACCGAUUGACUAAGGUUUCCAGAGGAAGGCUCGUCCGCUCUGGGUUAGUCGGGUCCUAAGCUGAGGCCGACAGGCGUAGGCGAUGGAUAACAGGUUGAUAUUCCUGUACCACCUAUAAUCGUUUUA